Molecule: long non-coding RNA, 545 nt
Organism: Magnolia sinica
Lineage: Eukaryota; Viridiplantae; Streptophyta; Magnoliopsida; Magnoliales; Magnoliaceae
Exons: 3
Source: RefSeq, a predicted model, not a curated record
UUAGGGCAAUGGUACGAGGGAUGUCCAUGAGCUCUUCAAGUUGGAAAAAGAGUAGAGAUCAUCUUAGUUGCAGGUUCCUUCUACUAUGUGUUGCUCAUGCUUUGAACUUGUGCUAUGGACUUGUUUUCUGGCUCCUGCUUCUUUGCCAUUUAUACUUGCUAAUAUUUGAGAUAGAUGUUGCUUCGCUUCUGCACGUGAAUCUGUUAGCGCUUCCUUUCUUUCUUCAUGCAACUAUAGGCCAUGUCUAACUUUGUUUUCUGGAGUUUUAAGUGUAUAUUUCUCCUCUAAAUUGCAGGGCUAAGGAUUAUACUGCAGUAGAACAACCUGUGGAAGCAUUCACGAAUAUUACAUAUAGCCACCAGGUGGAUGAUCUCUCAAGGAUGUAUAGGCUAUUUUGUAGAAUAACUAGAGGCUUAGAUCUUGUUUCUCAAAUAUUUAAGCAGCAUGUUACUACUGAAGGAACCACCGUGGUUAAACAAGUAGAAGAUGCAGCAAGUAACAAGAAAGUGAGUUCUUCUCAUUUUCUUAGUCUGAAACAUUUUGCA